ACAGACGAAAAUGGGCUGCUGGUACUGACAGGAGUGUGCUCAUUCGAGUUGUUUUAUAAUAUAACAGAGCUCUACACAGAAGCCCGCACACUCCAGUCAUCCCGCAGCUUCUGCAUAAGUGACGAUGACGCCGUGCUCUUAACUUUUAUGAAGUUGUAUCACGACGUUACGUUUUCGCUGUUGGCAGUACUCUUCGGUGUGCACCGAACAACAGUGUCGAACAUCUUUAAAGAGUCUAUUGUGAUACUCGCAAGCAUUCUCGAGCAUGCUGUCUUCUGGCCGGACAAAGACUCCGUGGUUAGCUGCCUAACAACCUAUUUCUGGGAAUACAAGGACACGAGGAUGGUGCUGGACUGCACAGAGAUAGAAAUCGAGAGGCCAAAAGACCUUAUGUCAAGGUUGCUCACAUACAGCCAUUAUAAACGAACAUACACGGCAAAGGUCCUAGUAAGUGAAACACCAGGAGGGCUAAUCAGUUACGUAAGCCCAGCAUAUGGUGGAAAAGCAUCGGACACAUUCAUCACAAAGCAGUCCCAGCUGCUGGACAGGUGUACUCCACAUGUCGACAGUGUGAUGGUGGACAAUGGGUUCCUGAUCAGCGAGCUGUGCAGAGAAAAAAAAUGUGCGAAUGAUCAGGCCUCCCUUCCUUAUGGAGAAACAGCUGACGACAGAAGAAGCCAGGUCCAACCAGUCUAUAGCCUGUGCACGUGUUCAUGUAGAGAGAGCAAUUCAGAGGAUGAAGAUCUACCGCAUUCUGAAAAAUCGGUUCGAUCUAGAUCUUGUGCCAUACAUAGACAAGAUCUUCACAGUGAUUUCUGGCAUGGUAAACCUUUCGAAGCCUCUGUUUAGCGAGGAUAAAUUCCUCUUCAAGUAGAAAUGCGGCUAGUGUGAGUGCCUGUCUGGCUUAAGUAUUCAGCAUGUAGGCUUAUUUUGACCAUGUUUCUUUUUAUGUAGACUGAGAUGAAAGAGUAUGGUAGUCCAUUACAAAAAUGGUUAAUCUUUUUAAUGACACACUCAAAUAACAGGGGAAUUAAUAAACAGAGUACAAAUGCAUCAAAAUAACUACCACACAGAGCAUCUAUCUUUAAGUAGUGCUCAAGAAUAAAUUUCAAACAGUAAAUAAUGUUGCAAAUAUUAGACAAACGUGUUUCCAGUCUUACAUCUCUUUCGUGCAUUUUCUUGUAAUAAAGAGUAUGAUUAUGCCUGCU
This is an RNA transcript of Ixodes scapularis (black-legged tick), 1208 nucleotides long. RefSeq lists it as uncharacterized. The transcript has a single exon. The record is from RefSeq and is a predicted model, not a curated record. NCBI's taxonomy places the organism in Eukaryota, Metazoa, Arthropoda, Arachnida, Ixodida, Ixodidae.